GUGACCUCAAAUCAGGUAGGACUACCCGCUGAACUUAAGCAUAUCAAUAAGCGGAGGAAAAGAAACUAACAAGGAUUCCCAUAGUAACUGCGAGUGAAGCGGGAAAAGCUCAAAUUUAAAAUCUGGCAGCCUUUGGUUGUCCGAGUUGUAAUCUAGAGAAGUGUUAUCCGCGCUGGACCGUGUACAAGUCUCCUGGAAUGGAGCG
This 205-nucleotide ribosomal RNA is filed under the name uncultured Cortinarius. RNAcentral describes it as "partial 28S ribosomal RNA". It matches the Rfam family "Eukaryotic large subunit ribosomal RNA", at positions 1 to 202 of the family's 3401-position model. Lineage: Eukaryota; Fungi; Basidiomycota; Agaricomycetes; Agaricales; Cortinariaceae. The record is from RNAcentral.